This 431-nucleotide ribosomal RNA is filed under the name uncultured bacterium. RNAcentral describes it as "bacterial SSU rRNA". It matches the Rfam family "Bacterial small subunit ribosomal RNA", at positions 34 to 507 of the family's 1533-position model. The record is from RNAcentral.
CGCUGGCGGUGUGCUUCACACAUGCAAGUCGAACGAGGUAGCAAUACCUAGUGGCGGACGGGUGAGUAACGCGUGGGAAUCUGCCUUUAGAUGGGGGAUAACGGGUCGAAAGACUCGCUAAUACCGCAUAUGACGAAAGUUGAAAGGAGUAAUCCGUCUAAAGAUGAGCCCGCGUCCGAUUAGCUAGUUGGUAGAGUAAAAGCCUACCAAGGCGACGAUCGGUAGCUGGUCUGAGAGGAUGAUCAGCCACAAUGGGACUGAGACACGGCCCAUACUCCUACGGGAGGCAGCAGUGGGGAAUUUUACGCAAUGGGCGAAAGCCUGACGUAGCGACACCGCGUGAGCGAAGAAGCCCCUUGGGGUGUAAAGCUCUGUCAGCUGGAACGAAAAAAAUGACGGUACCAGCAGAGGAAGCAUCGGCUAACUACGUG